UACGUAGGUGGCAAGCGUUGUCCGGAUUUAUUGGGCGUAAAGCGAGCGCAGGCGGAUAAAUAAGUCUGAUGUGAAAGCCCUCGGCUUAACCGGGGAAUUGCAUCGGAAACUGUCUAUCUUGAGUGCAGAAGAGGAGAGUGGAACUCCAUGUGUAGCGGUGGAAUGCGUAGAUAUAUGGAAGAACACCAGUGGCGAAAGCGGCUCUCUGGUCUGUAACUGACGCUGAGGCUCGAAAGCAUGGGUAGCGAACAGG
This 253-nucleotide ribosomal RNA is filed under the name uncultured bacterium. RNAcentral's name for it is "partial 16S ribosomal RNA". It matches the Rfam family "Bacterial small subunit ribosomal RNA", at positions 524 to 776 of the family's 1533-position model. The record is from RNAcentral.